Molecule: ribosomal RNA, 257 nt
Filed under: uncultured soil bacterium
Lineage: Bacteria
Description: partial 16S ribosomal RNA
Rfam family: Bacterial small subunit ribosomal RNA
Source: RNAcentral
AGGACGAACGCUGGCGGCGUGCCUAACACAUGCAAGUCGAACGGGACCAGGGGCAACUCUGGUUCAGUGGCGGACGGGUGCGUAACACGUGAGGAACAUGACCUUCGGCGGGGGAUAGCCGGCCCAACGGCCGGGUAAUACCGCGUACGACCACUUGGGGACAUCCCUGGGUGGUGAAAGCAGCAAUGCGCCGAUGGAGUGCCUCGCGGCCUAUCAGCUAGUUGGUGAGGUAACGGCUCACCAAGGCGACGACGGGU